GGGAACAUGGCUCAGUGGGCAGCAGCACUUGCUUUGAAAGCAAAAAGUCCUGAGUUCAAAUCCCUAGUUCCCA
Non-coding RNA from Mesocricetus auratus (golden hamster), 73 nucleotides. NCBI's taxonomy places the organism in Eukaryota, Metazoa, Chordata, Mammalia, Rodentia, Cricetidae. The record is from Rfam.